UUGAACUGAAGAGUUUGAUCCUGGCUCAGAUUGAACGCUGGCGGCAUGCCUUACACAUGCAAGUCGAACGGCAGCACGGACUUCGGUCUGGUGGCGAGUGGCGAACGGGUGAGUAAUACAUCGGAACGUGUCCUGGAGUGGGGGAUAGCCCGGCGAAAGCCGGAUUAAUACCGCAUACGCUCUAUGGAGGAAAGCGGGGGAUCGCAAGACCUCGCGCUCAAGGGGCGGCCGAUGGCAGAUUAGCUAGUUGGUGGGGUAAAGGCCUACCAAGGCGACGAUCUGUAGCUGGUCUGAGAGGACGACCAGC
Molecule: ribosomal RNA, 307 nt
Filed under: Paraburkholderia panacisoli
Lineage: Bacteria; Pseudomonadati; Pseudomonadota; Betaproteobacteria; Burkholderiales; Burkholderiaceae
Description: Paraburkholderia sp. DCY113 partial 16S ribosomal RNA
Rfam family: Bacterial small subunit ribosomal RNA
Source: RNAcentral